This 21-nucleotide non-coding RNA is filed under the name Caenorhabditis elegans. Lineage: Eukaryota; Metazoa; Nematoda; Chromadorea; Rhabditida; Rhabditidae. The record is from RNAcentral.
GACCAGUGUUUUAUUCGAGAA